Molecule: long non-coding RNA, 994 nt
Filed under: Drosophila guanche
Lineage: Eukaryota; Metazoa; Arthropoda; Insecta; Diptera; Drosophilidae
Source: RNAcentral
AAAGCGUUUGUUUCUCUCGACUUAUCAGACAGAAAAAAGCCUCCAUGUCGUAUGCGUUACGUGCUAAGACCCCGGGCUUACAACUAAUAGGGAAAAGAAAGACGAAAACCAAAGGAAAACGAGUGAAAAGAAGUGGAGAAGACGAAGAAAGCAGCGAGAAAACAAAUGGAAAGACGUUAAAACAUAGAAAAUCAGAGGAAAAAUCAUCGGGAUGUCAGAGGAAACCCCGGUGCAGCAGACUGUCUGGCGAGAAUUUCUUGCAAGUUGAGUGAGAAUCUAUAGUCCAGGAAUCCGUGCUAACAUUUCUCCGUUUCCUUUCCAGAAGAACACACUGCCUGCGGACACUCGUGUGUAUCCCACAUGCCCGAUCCGUAGCACAUGCAAAUUCAAUUAAUGCAAAAAUGCCAUUCCAUACAUACAAAUCUACGUAUAUGUAAUGUACUCGCACACACACAUAUGUAUGUAUGUAUGUGUGUGUGUGUGUGUGUGUGUGCAUACAAUUAACUCGCUUCCUCCACGAGCCCGCUCUUCCCAAUACAAAAUCCAAAUAAAACAGAAUAGAACCAAAGUGCAGAGAGUUAUAGGCGGGACUGGCGUCACCUUGUCGUUGCCUCGUUGCCUCGUUGCCUCGUUGCUGGAAUCUCGAGCCGACUUUGCUUGAUUUAUCAACAGCAAACGGCAGUGGCAACAUUUCAAUGCAAAACGUGUAACAAUUUGUAAGAUUUACAUAACCCAGAAGCCCGGGCCAGAAGUAGAACUCACAGCCAUAGUCGUAGCACUUGAAUUCGACUUGGUAGCUAAUGAAAUUAAACAAAAAUAAAAACUUAAUAGUAAACAAUCCAUUAAACAAAUACAUGAACAGUUAAUGAUAGUUCAACCUGAAAUACGAUUAAUAAACCAUACAUAGAAAAGGAAAGGGCCAUGAAAAUUGCGUUAUUAUUUUGUACAUUCAAAUUAAAUAUUACUUGACCAACUAGAUACAUUUUUAGCCGAG